Molecule: ribosomal RNA, 497 nt
Filed under: uncultured bacterium
Lineage: Bacteria
Description: partial 16S ribosomal RNA
Rfam family: Bacterial small subunit ribosomal RNA
Source: RNAcentral
GAUGAACGCUGGCGGCGUGCCUAAUACAUGCAAGUCGAGCGAACAGACGAGGAGCUUGCUCCUCUGACGUUAGCGGCGGACGGGUGAGUAACACGUGGAUAACCUACCUAUAAGACUGGGAUAACUUCGGGAAACCGGAGCUAAUACCGGAUAAUAUAUUGAACCGCAUGGUUCAAUAGUGAAAGACGGUUUUGCUGUCACUUAUAGAUGGAUCCGCGCCGCCUUAGCUAGUUGGGAAGGUAACGGCUUACCAAGGCAACGAUGCGUAGCCGACCUGAGCGGGUGAUCGGCCAGACUGUAAGUGAGACACGGUCCAGACUCCUACGGGAGGCAGCAGUAGGGAAUCUUCCGGAAUGGGCGAAAGCCUGACGGAGCAACGCCGCGUGAGUGAUGAAGGUCUUCGGAUCGUAGAACUCUGUUAUUAUGAAAGAAGAAAUGUGUAAGUAACUAUGCACGUCUUGACGGUACCUAAUCAGAAAGCCACGGCUAACUACGUG